This 1054-nucleotide ribosomal RNA is filed under the name uncultured Propionibacterium sp. RNAcentral's name for it is "bacterial SSU rRNA". It matches the Rfam family "Bacterial small subunit ribosomal RNA", at positions 332 to 1394 of the family's 1533-position model. The record is from RNAcentral. Lineage: Bacteria; Bacillati; Actinomycetota; Actinomycetes; Propionibacteriales; Propionibacteriaceae.
CAGAUUCCUACGGGAGGCAGCAGUGGGGAAUAUUGCACAAUGGGCGGAAGCCUGAUGCAGCAACGCCGCGUGCGGGAUGACGGCCUUCGGGUUGUAAACCGCUUUCGCCUGUGACGAAGCGUGAGUGACGGUAAUGGGUAAAGAAGCACCGGCUAACUACGUGCCAGCAGCCGCGGUGAUACGUAGGGUGCGAGCGUUGUCCGGAUUUAUUGGGCGUAAAGGGCUCGUAGGUGGUUGAUCGCGUCGGAAGUGUAAUCUUGGGGCUUAACCCUGAGCGUGCUUUCGAUACGGGUUGACUUGAGGAAGGUAGGGGAGAAUGGAAUUCCUGGCGGAGCGGUGGAAUGCGCAGAUAUCAGGAGGAACACCAGUGGCGAAGGCGGUUCUCUGGGCCUUUCCUGACGCUGAGGAGCGAAAGCGUGGGGAGCGAACAGGCUUAGAUACCCUGGUAGUCCACGCUGUAAACGGUGGGUACUAGGUGUGGGGUCCAUUCCACGGGUUCCGUGCCGUAGCUAACGCUUUAAGUACCCCGCCUGGGGAGUACGGCCGCAAGGCUAAAACUCAAAGGAAUUGACGGGGCCCCGCACAAGCGGCGGAGCAUGCGGAUUAAUUCGAUGCAACGCGUAGAACCUUACCUGGGUUUGACAUGGAUCGGGAGCGCUCAGAGAUGGGUGUGCCUCUUUUGGGGUCGGUUCACAUGUGGUGCAUGGCUGUCGUCAGCUCGUGUCGUGAGAUGUUGGGUUAAGUCCCGCAACGAGCGCAACCCUUGUUCACUGUUGCCAGCACGUUAUGGUGGGGACUCAGUGGAGACCGCCGGGGUCAACUCGGAGGAAGGUGGGGAUGACGUCAAGUCAUCAUGCCCCUUAUGUCCAGGGCUUCACGCAUGCUACAAUGGCUGGUACAGAGAGUGGCGAGCCUGUGAGGGUGAGCGAAUCUCGGAAAGCCGGUCUCAGUUCGGAUUGGGGUCUGCAACUCGACCUCAUGAAGUCGGAGUCGCUAGUAAUCGCAGAUCAGCAACGCUGCGGUGAAUACGUUCCCGGGCCUUGUACACACCGCC